CCGGAAGUCGACGGUGGGCUCCGCCCUUCGCCCCCGCGGAGGCAGGCUGGGACCGGCCCACGGCGGUGACACCCUUCGUUCCCUGUUGUCGACAACAUGCUCCAGUUCUUGCUUGGAUUUACUUUUGGCAACCUGGUUGGAAUGUAUCUGGCUCAAAACUAUGACAUACCAAACCUGGCUAAAAAACUUGAAGAAAUUAAAAAGGACUUGGACGCUAAGAAGAAACCCCCUAGUUCAUGAGGCUGACUCCAGCACUGCCUUCUGGAUAUACUGAUUCUACUGUUCUUGAGGGCCUCCUUUGCCAUCUGAACCAAAGCUUUGGUUUUACUCUCCAGCCUCAGCGAUUUUCUUCUUUGCUAAACCCUGCAUUGCCUUGGAGUACAAAUGGCACCAUAAGUUCAGAACUACCCCUGCUUUUCGAGCGUCCUCCCCUCUUCCCUUCCUCCUUCCUGCUGCCUGGGAGGUCCUGGACUGUUAUGAUGGUGCUAGAUGAGUAAACAUGACCUUUAAUUACUAGUCUCUCCCGUAUUCUUUGGGAUUUCUUAUUGCCUUUUUUCAAAAGAAAAAUUGAUGAGUUUUACAUAGCCUAUCAGAAUUAAUAAUGCUAAUUUCACAGUUUAGCAAUUUUAAUGGCUAUUUAAACAUUUGGUACUAAAUUACAUUGUUUCACAGUAAUUAAAAUUAAAAUCUAAAAGCUAGUUUCUGCUGAAUUAUCCAUUUAUUCCAUACUGGUGUCAGGCAGUUUCAUAGUUGCUAAUUUAACCAGUAAAUGAGUUUGCUGGUUAGUAACUGAGAAACUGUAUUUUGAAAACCCUGUCAGGAACUGGGGAGUCAAAAGAAUAUGUAAAAUAAAGGCCUUUGUCCUCAGUAGACUUCAUAGUCUAGUAGGCAUGUUUUCCUUUGAUGAUGUAUUUGAUCUGGCUCUUUUCCCUCAAAGGAAUCAUGCUUACUUAAGGGAUUACAGGUGCAUUUGACAUUACAUGAUGGAAUAAUGACAGGAUGUCUAUAAAGGAAGUUUUAUGCAUUUUCACAUUAAAAAUGUAUUUACAUUAGAACCUUA
Molecule: non-coding RNA, 1060 nt
Organism: Manis javanica (Malayan pangolin)
Lineage: Eukaryota; Metazoa; Chordata; Mammalia; Pholidota; Manidae
Source: RefSeq, a predicted model, not a curated record